CGGCUAACUACGUGCCAGCAGCCGCGGUAAUACGUAGGGUGCAAGCGUUGUCCGGAAUUAUUGGGCGUAAAGAGCUCGUAGGCGGUUUGUCGCGUCUGCUGUGAAAUCCCGAGGCUCAACCUCGGGCUUGCAGUGGGUACGGGCAGACUAGAGUGCGGUAGGGGAGAUUGGAAUUCCUGGUGUAGCGGUGGAAUGCGCAGAUAUCAGGAGGAACACCGAUGGCGAAGGCAGAUCUCUGGGCCGUAACUGACGCUGAGGAGCGAAAGCAUGGGGAGCGAACAGGAUUAGAUACCCUGGUAGUCCAUGCCGUAAACGUUGGGCGCUAGAUGUAGGGACCUUUCCACGGUUUCUGUGUCGUAGCUAACGCAUUAAGCGCCCCGCCUGGGGAGUACGGCCGCAAGGCUAAAACUCAAAGGAAUUGACGGGGGCCCGCACAAGCGGCGGAGCAUGCGGAUUAAUUCGAUGCAACGCGAAGAACCUUACCAAGGCUUGACAUACACCGGAAACGGCCAGAGAUGGUCGCCCCCUUGUGGUCGGUGUACAGGUGGUGCAUGGUUGUCGUCAGCUCGUGUCGUGAGAUGUUGGGUUAAGUCCCGCAACGAGCGCAACCCUCGUUCUAUGUUGCCAGCGGGUUAUGCCGGGGACUCAUAGGAGACUGCCGGGGUCAACUCGGAGGAAGGUGGGGAUGACGUCAAAUCAUCAUGCCCCUUAUGUCUUGGGCUUCACGCAUGCUACAAUGGCCGGUACAAAGGGCUGCGAUACCGUAAGGUGGAGCGAAUCCCAAAAAGCCGGUCUCAGUUCGGAUUGAGGUCUGCAACUCGACCUCAUGAAGUCGGAGUCGCUAGUAAUCGCAGAUCAGCAACGCUGCGGUGAAUACGUUCCCGGGCCUUGUACACACCGCCCGUCAAGUCAUGAAAGUCGGUAACACCCGAAGCCGGUGGCCUAACCCUUGUGGAAGGAGCCGUCGAAG
RNAcentral lists this ribosomal RNA (970 nucleotides) under Curtobacterium flaccumfaciens. RNAcentral describes it as "bacterial SSU rRNA". It matches the Rfam family "Bacterial small subunit ribosomal RNA", at positions 494 to 1461 of the family's 1533-position model. The record is from RNAcentral. Lineage: Bacteria; Bacillati; Actinomycetota; Actinomycetes; Micrococcales; Microbacteriaceae.